RNAcentral lists this ribosomal RNA (301 nucleotides) under uncultured bacterium. RNAcentral's name for it is "partial 16S ribosomal RNA". It matches the Rfam family "Bacterial small subunit ribosomal RNA", at positions 509 to 809 of the family's 1533-position model. The record is from RNAcentral.
CAGCAGCCACGGUAAAACGAAGGGUGCAAGCGUUAAUCGGAAUUACUGGGCGUAAAGCGUGCGUAGGCGGUUUGUUAAGUCUGUUGUGAAAUCCCCGGGCUCAACCUGGGAAUGGCAAUGGAUACUGGCAAGCUAGAGUGUGUCAGAGGAUGGUGGAAUUCCCGGUGUGGCGGUGAAAUGCGUAGAGAUCGGGAGGAACAUCAGUGGCGAAGGCGGCCAUCUGGGACAACACUGACGCUGAGGCACGAAAGCGUGGGGAGCAAACAGGAUUAGAUACCCCUGUAGUCCCUGUCUCUUAUAA